UACGUAGGGGGCAAGCGUUGUCCGGAAUCACUGGGCGUAAAGCGCGUGUAGGCGGCUCGAUAAGUCUGCUGUGAAAGUUCAGGGCUCAACCCUGAAAUGCCGGUGGAAACUGUCGAGCUAGAGUCCGGAAGAGGCGAGUGGAAUUCCUGGUGUAGCGGUGAAAUGCGCAGAUAUCAGGAGGAACACCAAUGGCGAAGGCAGCUCGCUGGGACGGUACUGACGCUGAGACGCGAAAGCGUGGGGAGCAAACAGG
This 253-nucleotide ribosomal RNA is filed under the name uncultured bacterium. RNAcentral describes it as "partial 16S ribosomal RNA". It matches the Rfam family "Bacterial small subunit ribosomal RNA", at positions 524 to 776 of the family's 1533-position model. The record is from RNAcentral.